GUGCUCACAUUGGCAGCACAUAUACGAAAAUUAGAACGAUGCAGAGACGAUUAGCGUGGCCUCUGCUCAAGGACGACACACAAAUUCGUGAAGUGUUCCGCAUAUUA
This 107-nucleotide small nuclear RNA is filed under the name Neogale vison (American mink). Lineage: Eukaryota; Metazoa; Chordata; Mammalia; Carnivora; Mustelidae. The record is from RNAcentral.